Molecule: ribosomal RNA, 1530 nt
Filed under: Escherichia coli O104:H4 str. 11-4632 C2
Lineage: Bacteria; Pseudomonadati; Pseudomonadota; Gammaproteobacteria; Enterobacterales; Enterobacteriaceae
Description: bacterial SSU rRNA
Rfam family: Bacterial small subunit ribosomal RNA
Source: RNAcentral
AGAGUUUGAUCAUGGCUCAGAUUGAACGCUGGCGGCAGGCCUAACACAUGCAAGUCGAACGGUAACAGGAAACAGCUUGCUGUUUCGCUGACGAGUGGCGGACGGGUGAGUAAUGUCUGGGAAACUGCCUGAUGGAGGGGGAUAACUACUGGAAACGGUAGCUAAUACCGCAUAACGUCGCAAGACCAAAGAGGGGGACCUUCGGGCCUCUUGCCAUCGGAUGUGCCCAGAUGGGAUUAGCUUGUUGGUGGGGUAACGGCUCACCAAGGCGACGAUCCCUAGCUGGUCUGAGAGGAUGACCAGCCACACUGGAACUGAGACACGGUCCAGACUCCUACGGGAGGCAGCAGUGGGGAAUAUUGCACAAUGGGCGCAAGCCUGAUGCAGCCAUGCCGCGUGUAUGAAGAAGGCCUUCGGGUUGUAAAGUACUUUCAGCGGGGAGGAAGGGAGUAAAGUUAAUACCUUUACUCAUUGACGUUACCCGCAGAAGAAGCACCGGCUAACUCCGUGCCAGCAGCCGCGGUAAUACGGAGGGUGCAAGCGUUAAUCGGAAUUACUGGGCGUAAAGCGCACGCAGGCGGUUUGUUAAGUCAGAUGUGAAAUCCCCGGGCUCAACCUGGGAACUGCAUCUGAUACUGGCAAGCUUGAGUCUCGUAGAGGGGGGUAGAAUUCCAGGUGUAGCGGUGAAAUGCGUAGAGAUCUGGAGGAAUACCGGUGGCGAAGGCGGCCCCCUGGACGAAGACUGACGCUCAGGUGCGAAAGCGUGGGGAGCAAACAGGAUUAGAUACCCUGGUAGUCCACGCCGUAAACGAUGUCGACUUGGAGGUUGUGCCCUUGAGGCGUGGCUUCCGGAGCUAACGCGUUAAGUCGACCGCCUGGGGAGUACGGCCGCAAGGUUAAAACUCAAAUGAAUUGACGGGGGCCCGCACAAGCGGUGGAGCAUGUGGUUUAAUUCGAUGCAACGCGAAGAACCUUACCUGGUCUUGACAUCCACGGAAGUUUUCAGAGAUGAAUUGGUGCCUUCGGGAACCGUGAGACAGGUGCUGCAUGGCUGUCGUCAGCUCGUGUUGUGAAAUGUUGGGUUAAGUCCCGCAACGAGCGCAACCCUUAUCCUUUGUUGCCAGCGGUCCGGCCGGGAACUCAAAGGAGACUGCCAGUGAUAAACUGGAGGAAGGUGGGGAUGACGUCAAGUCAUCAUGGCCCUUACGACCAGGGCUACACACGUGCUACAAUGGCGCAUACAAAGAGAAGCGACCUCGCGAGAGCAAGCGGACCUCAUAAAGUGCGUCGUAGUCCGGAUUGGAGUCUGCAACUCGACUCCAUGAAGUCGGAAUCGCUAGUAAUCGUGGAUCAGAAUGCCACGGUGAAUACGUUCCCGGGCCUUGUACACACCGCCCGUCACACCAUGGGAGUGGGUUGCAAAAGAAGUAGGUAGCUUAACCUUCGGGAGGGCGCUUACCACUUUGUGAUUCAUGACUGGGGUGAAGUCGUAACAAGGUAACCGUAGGGGAACCUGCGGUUGGAUCACCU